This 309-nucleotide RNase P RNA is filed under the name Nanobdellota archaeon. RNAcentral describes it as "RNase P RNA component". It matches the Rfam family "Archaeal RNase P". From Rfam's summary of the family: Ribonuclease P (RNase P) is a ubiquitous endoribonuclease, found in archaea, bacteria and eukarya as well as chloroplasts and mitochondria. Its best characterised activity is the generation of mature 5'-ends of tRNAs by cleaving the 5'-leader elements of precursor-tRNAs. Cellular RNase Ps are ribonucleoproteins. The record is from RNAcentral. Lineage: Archaea; Nanobdellati; Nanobdellota.
GUAGGGUAGUGCUCUGCUGUCGGUCCGUUCGCGGGCUGAGGAAAGUCCACCCACCACAAAGAAGCCACCAGAGGAAUCUGGUUAUCGAAAGGUAAGGCAACUACUCAGAAACGAGACCACCUAUCGGCAGGAUGAUGAAGCGAAGAUGCCCGGAGACAGGCGUCAAGUAACCUUCAGACGUUCCUUUAGGAAAGGGUGAAACGGUAAGCCCUGGCUGGUGCAACCUCUUUUGAGGGCUUAGUCGAAUGCAGAGAGGGGCCUUCUAUCGCAAGAUAGGGCGCAACAUAAGGUGGCUUAUAGCUACCCUAC